AGCCCCCCUAAUAGCUGCGUAGUGGCGCCAUCGUCUGUCACUGAAAAAAAUCGCAGCGAGGCCUGCUGUCGUUUACAACCUCAUUAAGCCUCGGGUCAUUGGUUUCAACACCUAUUAAGGCUAAUCUGCAAGACCUGAUUUGGCUGAGAUCCUUUUAAUUCCUUCAGUUUGAGUUUUUCCACCAUCACGUGACACAUCAGAGAUCCCAUCAACUGAAGGCCACAAAAGUGCUCCUUUGCCUUUCCAUGAUGGGAAUCUGCACACCGUCCCAAAGAACCUCUACUGGAUUUAGAUCUGGUGACUGUGGAGACCAUGAACUUCCUAUGGAGAAGCCCCCUCCUCUUCUUGAUUACUCCUAUCACCCUCAUACAGCGCAACAUCCCCACUAAACAGCUUUCUACUACAGUACAGGCAGUAUGUGUAGUAGGAACAAAUGUGAUUGGCUUUGCACGCAAAAUUCGACAGUAAUGGCACUGUGGCCUCUUUCAUUAUGGGAGAAAUUCUGUGAUCCAGAUUGCACAGUGAGGGACUGCUGAUGCCCAGAGGUUUGCCCUCCAUGUAUCUACGUGUUGCAUGGGGACACUAAGGCAUUUCCAGGCCAGCUGAGAGAAAUAAUUUCUUUAGUCUGCUCUGGAUCUGCUGGGGGUCUCCUCCUGGUAGGACAUCCUGAAACACCUGUCCUUGGAGUUGCUUAGGAGCCAUCCUUGCCAGAUGCCUGAACGACCUCAACUGGCUCCUUUUGGUGUGUCGAAUAGAAGCUUUUCUCUGAGCCUCUUCUGAAUGAGUAACAGAGAUCCCAGACAUUCAUCAGAAGCAAAUUUCUGUUCAGUACCCACAGCUCAUGGAUGAUGGUAGGAACGUAGGCCGACUGCUAAAUCAACAGCUUUGCUUUCAGGCUCAGCUCUCGCUUUGACAGGCUGGCAUAGUAUCUGCAUCACUACAGACACCACACCAAUCUGUCAGUUUCCUGCUCCAGUCUCCCUCAUUUCUAAAUAACUCCAAGAUAAUAAUUAAAAAAAAAAAAAAAAAAAAACGGGAAAAAACAUCUGUCAAAGGACAUUGUCCAGGGACAGGGUUACCAGGGCCCACCCUGGGCCAGGCCUGGAAAAGGGACACAAGGGGAAGCAUCUGGUGGCUGGCUUUUACCCCGUGGGCCCAACUGGGCCAACCCAUAAUGGGCACAUGGGUUGGGGUUGGGUGUUAAGUGCAAUAUGGACUGGGCUGCAAUCAGAUCCCCACCUUCCAAGUCUGUUGCCCCUUUUAAAAUAAGCCAAAAACUGGUUUUAAAACUAGCAAAUUUCUUAUCAUCUUGGACUACUAAUGUACAAUGUGGAGAAUAUGUAAAGUAAACAGUUGCUUGCAGUUUAGCUAACGAUCCUCUAAAUUUAAUUGACCAAAGACUAUAAACUGUCAGUUUAAAAAUUCAUUGUUAUUUACACACAUGCAGAUAAAUUUGUAUCUCAGGGUUAGCAUUAUUCAGAAUUAGCAAUGUUCUCACACAUAGGCUUCUGAAAAGUAAUCGUUUAUCAGUACUGCGUGCUGACAAACCAUAAUGAUAUACAGUAAAUCUGAAUUUCACUGCAGCUCACCUUUACCACAUGAAUCCAUCAAAAUGCUGACCU
Long non-coding RNA from Oreochromis aureus, 1622 nucleotides. NCBI's taxonomy places the organism in Eukaryota, Metazoa, Chordata, Actinopteri, Cichliformes, Cichlidae. The record is from Ensembl.